Molecule: long non-coding RNA, 567 nt
Organism: Trichomycterus rosablanca
Lineage: Eukaryota; Metazoa; Chordata; Actinopteri; Siluriformes; Trichomycteridae
Exons: 3
Source: RefSeq, a predicted model, not a curated record
UCCAGACUCAGAGACCUGGGUUUAAUAAUGAAUUAAUUCAUUUAAUCAUUCAUUGUUUGUUUUACCACAACUUUAUCCUGGUCAGGGUCGUGGUGUCUGAUUUAUUAGGCAAAAGGAGCUGUGGGCCAAAGCAGGAGGCAGACGGACUUUGGAGGUGGAACCCUUUUCACUUGCCCUGCAGUCUAGAGCACAUUGGAUGUUAUUGAUGUGUGCGGUGUGAUCACGUGUGGUGUGUAGUGUAGGAGAUUCCUUUACUUCCAUAUUUUCCGCUGCCGUGAAAGAGGAUGAAAGGCAUCUGACACCAGCAGAAAACCAGACCAGACCGAGCCCUGCAUUACAGUUUCAGUGGAAAUACAUACAGAUGACUGUCAAUUAAAAGGAGCUAUCACAUCAAUCAUCUGUGCUUCUGUGUCCCCUCUGCCAACCAAAAAUGCCAAUGCAGAGGGACACUAAUCCAACGUGGCUUACUACCGAACUCCUUCAGCAGCUGAGCAGUGUUACAGAGUAAUUUUGUUCUAUUAGCAUAUCUUUCUUUCCAAAGUUUUUUUUUUAAAUGUAAUUUAGCAG